GCAUUAAUGGGGUAGUGGUAACCUGGGUCGUUGCCAUAUGAAACUUAGUUGUUUCGACCCGCCGGGGGUUCGAUUCCCCCUUAAUGCA
Molecule: transfer RNA, 88 nt
Filed under: Gymnopilus junonius
Lineage: Eukaryota; Fungi; Basidiomycota; Agaricomycetes; Agaricales; Galerinaceae
Description: tRNA-Gly
Rfam family: tRNA
About the family: Transfer RNA (tRNA) molecules are approximately 80 nucleotides in length. Their secondary structure includes four short double-helical elements and three loops (D, anti-codon, and T loops).
Source: RNAcentral